Molecule: ribosomal RNA, 127 nt
Organism: Cricetulus griseus (Chinese hamster)
Lineage: Eukaryota; Metazoa; Chordata; Mammalia; Rodentia; Cricetidae
Source: Ensembl
AUCUAUGUCCAUACCACCCUGAACUCACCCAGUCUCGUCUGAUCUCAGAAGUUAAGCAGGGUCGGGCCUGGUUAGUACUUGGGUGGGUGGAGUGGAUGCUAGUUAUUGAGCUAAGGCGAUGUCAGCU